ACAACUCUAACGGUGGAUCUCUUGGCUCGUGCAU
Molecule: ribosomal RNA, 34 nt
Filed under: Cyanea nozakii
Lineage: Eukaryota; Metazoa; Cnidaria; Scyphozoa; Semaeostomeae; Cyaneidae
Also listed under: 1 other name
Description: partial 5.8S rRNA
Source: RNAcentral